This is a long non-coding RNA of Marmota flaviventris (yellow-bellied marmot), 614 nucleotides long. RefSeq lists it as uncharacterized. NCBI's taxonomy places the organism in Eukaryota, Metazoa, Chordata, Mammalia, Rodentia, Sciuridae. The record is from RefSeq and is a predicted model, not a curated record.
ACUUGUUUACAGACUCUAACAGCAGUGCACACCCAGGGCCACCUGGAAGGUGGAACCCAGAGGCCAGGACUCUAUGAGAAAGGACACGGAGGCCAGGCCAACGCCACCCAGCCUCACUGGAAGAUGAGGGGCGUCCCAUGAGUAUAGACUGGAACAUGGGCGUCCCACUCACCUGCCGCGCGUCUCUUCCUCUCUGAGCCUCUGUUCCACAAGGUGAGAACACUGAAACUUCCACUCUCGCGGAACAAAAUUCCUGCCGUCUAAGUGAAAUUUGCAAUCUUUGACCAACCUUUCCCUAAUCCCGUAAACAAAUUUUAAGAAAAAGACAAUCAGAGAAAUUGACCAUAUUAGAAAAUCAUUCAUUGUUUAAGGUGUGGAAAAGAGUAUCUUUUGGAGACACUUGCUGAAGUAUUUAUGGAUGAAAUCAUACAAUGUCUGGCAUCUGCCUGGAAGUAAUUCAGGCCUGGGGUCUCGAUGGAACACAGCUAGGAACGGAUAAUCACUGCAGUUAAGGGAUGAUUUGUUAUCCCAUCCAAUCUGCCUUUAAAAUUUCCAAAACAAUUGUAAUAAAAGCUGCUGUAGGAACAGUGAAAAUAUAGAGGGUGGAUAUACAA